RNAcentral lists this unclassified non-coding RNA (3130 nucleotides) under Rhopalosiphum maidis (corn leaf aphid). Its description in RNAcentral is "piwi-like protein Ago3, transcript variant X2". Lineage: Eukaryota; Metazoa; Arthropoda; Insecta; Hemiptera; Aphididae. The record is from RNAcentral.
UUUACACUGAGUUGAAUUCAUUAUACUUUUAGUUAUUAAUAACAUUUUAUCAAAAUGCAGUAACCUACUUAAAAUGUACUGAAAAAAAUCAUUUCUUCUGCAUAUCUUUACAUUACUGUCAUAGUGAAAUUGAUUACUGGAAAUAUAGUAUGAAUAUAGUUUAUUGUGGUUACAGGAAUGGCAGGAAGAGGUUUUUUAAAGAGCCGUUUGGCUCAGGUCACCACUCCUAAAGAACCCGAGGAACUACCUAAACACGUGGAACCCCCUAAACCCGUGGAAUCACUUAAAACUGAUGAAUCUCUACAAUUACCGACUCAAUCAAUACCAUAUACUGGAGUGCCAAAAAUUCCGAUUCCGGCUAUAAGUACUCAAACUUUAGUUGCUGGUAAUCAACAAGUUGUUCGUGGAAGAAGGGCCAUGUUAGCUAAUAUUGCACAAGGGACUGGUUCUCAAAAAAUGUGUGAAAACUUAACAUCAACAUUCUCAAAGAUCGAUCUUGUGUGUCCAACUAUUAAACCAGUAAAUACCAAUACAGAAGUAUCUAAAUUACUUUCACCUCCAAAACAGCCAAAACCACAAAUCAUAGAUAUUCCAGCAGAAAAAGAAGAAAAUUCUCCAGUAAUAUAUCGAGUCUUAAAAAAAUCCGAUAAAGAUUCUUUCCACAUGACCCAAUUAUCUUCAAAUUACAUAAGAAUUAAGCUGGAAGAAGACAAAGGAAUAUACGAAUAUAGAGUCGAUUUCCAUCCUCCAGUUGAUGCAAAAUCUGCUAGGUUUUUCUUAGUUAAUGAACAUAGAGAUAAAUUUCCUGUUAAAACAUUUGAUGGGACAUUACUUUAUUUACCAAAAAUGCUACCAGAUAAAGUAACAACAUUAGUGGGAAAAUUAAGAGAUGAAUCUGAAGUGACUUUAACAAUAUCAUUUAAGCGUAAAAAUUCUUUGCGUGAAUGUAUACAUUUUUAUAAUGUUUUUCUUCGUACAAUAAUGAAGAUUCUAGGCCUAGUAGAAUUUGGUAGAAGUUGUUAUGAUCAAAAUAAAAGGAUACUCAUACCCGAGUUUAAACUUGAAGUUUGGCCAGGCUAUAUAACUACUAUUGAUGAGUUUCAAAAUGGUCUUUAUAUGUGUUGUGAAGUUUCGCACAGAAUUUUACGUGUACAAACAGUUCUUCAAAUAAUGACAGAAAUCAUGAUGAAUUCCAAAAACAACAACUCAGAUAGUAAGCAAGAAAUAAUGGCUGCAUUGUGUGGUUCUACAGUAAUUACACAUUACAAUCGUAAGACGUACAGAGUUGAUGAUGUAGACUUUUCAAUAAAUCCUUUAACAACUUUUGAUCAAAAUGGUGUUCAAGUAUCAUAUAAAGAUUAUUAUAAAAAGAUGUAUGACAUUGAAAUUAAAAAUCUUAAUCAGCCUAUGAUUGUAACAAAAGCAAAAAAAAAAGACGUGAAUAAAAAAAAUGCAACAGAGGAUUCAGAUAUUUGUUGCUUAGUUCCUGAACUUUGUAAUUUAACUGGUCUAACUGAAGCAAUGAAAUCGGAUUUUAAAUUAAUGAAGGCUCUUCAAAACCAUACUUUGGUUACACCAGAAGUGCGACAAAAUGCUAUAAUUGAUUUUGUUAAUCGUAUAAAUGCUCAUGAAGUUGCUAGCAAAAAAUUUAAUGAUUGGGGUCUUAUGAUGCGUCCAAUACCAGUGAAAAUGGAAGGACCUGUUUAUAAAAAAGAAACUAUAUUACUGGGGAAUAAUAUCAGAAAACCGGUUGGAAUGAAUAUGGACUGGGGAAUGGAUGUAGCAAAAAAUGCAAUGUUUGUUGCUGUUAAUAUGUUAAAUUGGGCUAUUAUGUAUAAUCCAAGAGAUGAACCAACAGCUAAAGCAUUUUGCAAACAAUUGUCUUUAUGCAGCCGUGCUCUUGGUAUGGAAAUUAAUUCACCAAAGCCCAUUAAAGUUCCAGGCCCAAAUCCAGAAGUUUAUGUUAGUACAAUAAACAACACAAUAAAAAAUAACCCAGAUAUACAAUUAGUUGUUAUUAUAUUCCCUAACCAAAGAGAAGACCGUUAUAAUGCCGUUAAACGAAUUUGUUGUUCAGAAAUUGGUAUUCCAUCUCAAGUGAUAAUCUCAAGAACAUUAUCCAAGCCAGAUAAAUUACAAUCUAUUACUCAAAAAAUUGCUUUACAAAUUAAUUGUAAAUUAGGAGGUGCUUGUUGGGCUAUUGAUAUUCCAUUGAAAAAUACUAUGAUUGUAGGAAUUGAUGUAUACCACGAAAAAGGUAAACAAAUGAGUAGUGUGGUUGGUUUUGUAGCUUCGAUGGAUAAGACAUUUACUGAAUGGUAUUCAGUUGCUGCAAUGCAAAGAAGUACUCAUCAAGAACUUAUGAAAUCUAUGCAAGAUGCUUUCCAUAAAGUUGUUUGCCAGUUUAAAAUAAAAAAUGGGUUGUUACCUGAAAAAAUAAUUAUAUAUAGAGAUGGUGUAUCUGAUGGUGAUUUAAAACAAGUAGAAGAGAUUGAACUAUCAGAUUUGAUUGAAUCUUUCAGAAGUUACCCGGGAAAUUAUAAUCCUAUGGUUUCUUUAAUAAUUGUACAGAAACGUAUUAACACUAGAGUGUUCCAGUAUGUAAAUGAAAAGUAUUCAAAUCCAAGUUCUGGAACUGUUAUUGACAAUACUGUAACCAGAAGAAAUUAUUUUGAUUUUUUUUUGGUUUCUCAACAUGUGCGUCAGGGUACUGUUAACCCUACUCAUUACAUUGUUUUAAAAAAUGGAUGUAAUUUGAGUGUUGAAAAUGUUCAAAGAUUAUCUUACAAGUUGUGUCACUUGUAUUACAAUUGGUGUGGCACAGUAAAAGUUCCUGCUCCUGUUCAAGACCUGAAUGCGUGACGAGUAAACGAAAUCAAGAAGAAGGCCGUCUUGUGCGGAGUGGAGUUUUGCUUGACGUUUGUGGCAGUAUUAUAAUACGUCAUAAUUUAAACGCAUACCAAUACACAAAACUGUUUUCGCGCUAAAAAUAAAAUUCAUUCGCCGAAAUGUGUCCUUUCACCGAAAUGCCUUUCGCCAAAAAGACCGGUUGCAUCUUGUACGGAAUUCUAUUUGCGAUCAAAAGUAAUUGCUAAAAAAUAGCAUACAAUCAGUGUUGUUUCCGGCAGAG